This 363-nucleotide ribosomal RNA is filed under the name uncultured bacterium. RNAcentral describes it as "bacterial SSU rRNA". It matches the Rfam family "Bacterial small subunit ribosomal RNA", at positions 29 to 419 of the family's 1533-position model. The record is from RNAcentral.
AACGAACGCUGGCGGCAUGCCUAACACAUGCAAGUCGAACGAGACCUUCGGGUCUAGUGGCGCACGGGUGCGUAACACGUGGGAAUUUGCCUCGGGGUAUGGAAUAACUCAGGGAAACUUGAGCUAAUACCAUAUAAUGUCUUCGGACCAAAGAUUUAUCGCCCUGAGAUAAGCCCGCAUAGGAUUAGCUAGUUGGUGGGGUAAAGGCUCACCAAGGCGACGAUCCUUAGCUGGUCUGAGAGGAUGAUCAGCCACACUGGGACUGAGACACGGCCCAGACUCCUACGGGAGGCAGCAGUGGGGAAUUUUGGACAAUGGGCGCAAGCCUGAUCCAGCAAUGCCGCGUGCAGGAUGAAGGCCUUC